GCCAGGAUGGCGGAGUGGCCAAUCGCAACAGACUGUAAAUCUGUCGCCCGUUCGGGCUGCCUAGGUUCGAAUCCUAGUCCUGGCA
Molecule: transfer RNA, 85 nt
Filed under: Candidatus Gottesmanbacteria bacterium RIFCSPLOWO2_01_FULL_43_11b
Lineage: Bacteria; Candidatus Gottesmaniibacteriota
Description: tRNA-Tyr
Rfam family: tRNA
About the family: Transfer RNA (tRNA) molecules are approximately 80 nucleotides in length. Their secondary structure includes four short double-helical elements and three loops (D, anti-codon, and T loops). Further hydrogen bonds mediate the characteristic L-shaped molecular structure. tRNAs have two regions of fundamental functional importance: the anti-codon, which is responsible for specific mRNA codon recognition, and the 3' end, to which the tRNAs corresponding amino acid is attached (by aminoacyl-tRNA synthetases). tRNAs cope with the degeneracy of the genetic code in two manners: having more than one tRNA (with a specific anti-codon) for a particular amino acid; and 'wobble' base-pairing, i.e. permitting non-standard base-pairing at the 3rd anti-codon position.
Source: RNAcentral